ACGGAGGGUGCGAGCGUUGUCCGGAAUCACUGGGCGUAAAGAGUACGUAGGCGGUUGUUUAAGUCAGCUGUGAAAUCUCGGGGCUCAACUCCGAACCUGCAGUUGAGACUGGACAACUGGAGCACGGUAGGGGCAAGUGGAAUUCCCGGUGUAGCGGUGGAAUGCGUAGAUAUCGGGAAGAACAUCGGUGGCGAAGGCGACUUGCUGGGCCGGUGCUGACGCUGAGGUACGAAAGCGUGGGGAGCAAACAGG
This 252-nucleotide ribosomal RNA is filed under the name uncultured bacterium. RNAcentral describes it as "partial 16S ribosomal RNA". It matches the Rfam family "Bacterial small subunit ribosomal RNA", at positions 525 to 776 of the family's 1533-position model. The record is from RNAcentral.